CGCUAAGAAGCUAAACCGGUACUCAGCGUUAGCCUUUUAAGCUAAAGAAUGGUGGCCACCAACCACCCUUAACGA
This 75-nucleotide transfer RNA is filed under the name Parachanna insignis. RNAcentral describes it as "tRNA-Lys". It matches the Rfam family "tRNA". Rfam says of the family: Transfer RNA (tRNA) molecules are approximately 80 nucleotides in length. Lineage: Eukaryota; Metazoa; Chordata; Actinopteri; Anabantiformes; Channidae. The record is from RNAcentral.